AUAUGGGAUUAUGAACUUAUACGAAAGAUAUAUUCCUGAUAUUAAAAUUAAAAAAGAUUUUUUUUGUUUCUUUUAAUAUACAAGAUUAUGAAUUUAUAAGUAAGACAUAUUCCUGAUAUUAAAUAAAAAGAUAGUUUAUUUUUUUAUGCUGGCAUUAGAACGGUUUUGUUUUUAAUCUGAUAAAAUAAAGACAUCCUUACUAAGAAGUACUUUUCUUAUACCUUAGACACACAAACUCUUAUUCUCUUUUUUUACUGAUAAAGAACAAUAAUUCCUUGUCCUUUUCACCCACAUCAUUCUCGACGAUCCCGAUCCGAGAGGAUGAUCGCCGUAACAUUGUACAAGUGCAACAAGACUCAUCAAAUUGAUUAGAUCACAUCAAAUCAAUUCCCACAUAAUUUGUUUUCAAAACAAUUAUAUUAAAAAAGUAUUAGUAGCACCUAGAUAUUUUCGGUGGUGGUGGCUAUAAAUAAGAGUGCAGAGAAGAGGCAAUAUCCAUUUUAAACACAAAGUAAUAUUUCCAAGAUGAAGGCCUUUCUUAUCAUAUGCAUUCUGUUGGCUACCGUUGUCUUCUCUCCCUUUUCCACUACCACUGCCCUAGAAUUAUCCCAUGAAGGUCCAUACAGGACACUUGACGCUUCCAUGCAACAAGGUGGCCCGAUGAAGCCGCCACGUGGCCCGAUUAUGCCGCCACGUGGCCCUGUCAAGCCACCACGUGGCCCGGUCAAGCCACCACCUGGCCCGAUGAAGCCACCACGUGGCCCGGUCAAGCCACCACCUGGAAAGAAGCCACCUCCCGGGUCACAGUAAUGCUUACAAGUGGAAUUGUGAAAUCCCUUGAGAAUGGAACACUACGGAUUAGAAGCCAGUAAAGUGUCGACCGACAGCUAGUAGUAUCUUUAUUAACAUGGUAAUAUGAUAGGAGAACAUUUUAUGUAAGAAAAAUAAACUAUGAAGUUCUCAUAACACAUGUCAACAACCAUGUAUUGGUAUGAUCAUGAGGUUUUAAUUUCUGUCGGGUUUUAUAUUGUAUUAUCGUACUGAUGUUGAUGCAAAAAUAAAUAAAGUGUUUAAUUAGCUAGACUAUGUUCUAGCUAUCUUCUCUGUUGCUCA
Long non-coding RNA from Populus trichocarpa (black cottonwood), 1113 nucleotides. RefSeq lists it as uncharacterized. The record is from RefSeq and is a predicted model, not a curated record. NCBI's taxonomy places the organism in Eukaryota, Viridiplantae, Streptophyta, Magnoliopsida, Malpighiales, Salicaceae. The transcript has 2 exons.